UUACGAGAAAUAUUUGUAUUAAUAUAAAGUUUCAUAGUAAAUUCCAAAGAACUAAAUUAUCAUAUUACCAAAAGUAUAUCUAUCAACUUUAUAAUAUUUAUUAAACACAUAAAAUAUAAACAAUUAGGUAGCAAUGGAAACACAUUUAACAACUCCAAAAAAAAAUAAAAAUUGUGUCUCUGGUCUUCAACUUGUUCUUCGAUAUUUUUAGUUAGACUUGAUCAUCUGCACUUUAUUUGUGGAUUGUUAAGACUCCAAAUUUUAACAUCUGUAAAAAGAAAAAGUUCAUGUUAGUUUAGUAACAGAUGCUAGUUUUUUCUGCAAAAUCAAAAUAAAUCAAUAAGAAAAUAAAUACAUCUUUAUGACUAUCCAAUUAAAUUUAUUCAACAAGAGAACUUAAUUUAGUUGAAUGGAACUGCCCAAAGAGAGUUUUUCUCUUCUUUUUUUGAGUAAGAAAAGUCCUAUUUGAAUAUAGAAGCCUGGACUAUCACAACAAAAGCUAUGUAAUAAGAAGUGAACAAUUACACUAGUAUGGAGUCACACUAGUGGAGUCAUUGUAUACGUCCCUGUCAUUUGAUUUUUCUUCUCUUUUAUUGAUACCUAAGGAAUAUAAUAGGGGUAUUGCAAGAAGCAUGUUUCAACAAGUUAUAAUUGAAUCACAAAUUCCAAGAGCAAGUAGUUCAGAUUAGAGGCAAUCUUUCUGUUUAUGUGUCAACAUCAUGAUAAUCAUAUACGCUAAUGCCUCACUUUUUAUCAAGCCUACCAUCAUCAACAUACUUCACAAGGAGAUUCAGGCCAAUAACAAGCCCUCACGAACUCCCCAUAACAACAUAUAUCAACAAUGAACUCCAACACUACUAUCUACAAUAAUUAAAAUGAAAAGUUAUACGCUUCACAAUCAAUAAAAAAAGAAAUGAAAAAAGUUUUGAUUUGACACUUGAGCAACAUUAAGGAUCAAGGUUUGUAAGUAUAUCAUAUCCUACUCUACAAGAAGUUUUCCUUUUAAAUUCAACAUUACAAGAAGUUAAAGGAAGAUAUAUUAGUGCUAAAUUGUUUAAUCAACCUCAUUUAAAAUUUUGAACCAUUAAAAAUAUAAGGCACAAUUCAACAUAAUAACAAAGUAAGUAGAGGUCCUAAGUUUUAAGUGUCACUACCACCUAUUAUCAAGAAAGUAUUUUACGUAUUUGACAUAUGAAAAGAUCAAGUUUGCACAUGAGAACAAGAGAUAAUCUACUUAAAUGUAACUAAGAGUAAAUAAAGUGUCUCUCUAGCGACUUAAGAUUACAGAUCAGUUAUUCACACACAAUUCAAGAACUGACACCUUGUCUUUAAGCUGUUAUACCCGAGAAACGCAGAAAUUGGCAAGAGAUAAGCUUGAUGGUAGUCAUGCUUGAAAAUCUUAGCUUUAUAUUUUAUUCACCAACUAAGGAUUGAAAAUAAUCCUAGAAGAAUGAGAAGAUACCAAGCUCUGCAUAGCUUUAAGUUUGAAGAAAAAAGGUAGUUCUUAUAAGGAUAAAAAGUUCCAAUAACUAAGUUGAUGAGUUAAUUAUAAGAACUUGGUUGUUUAGUAUAAGUCAACAGCCACUGAGUUCUCUGAUUCCUUUCUGCAGUAUCAUUGAUAUUAAAUUGUUGUAGCUCAAUGCUGAUCAUCUCAUUAGGCAGUGACUACAAUUCUUUUUCUCCUCUUUUUUUGGUUAAAUAUGAAACUAAAUGUUCUCAUAUAUAAAGAGUAUUAAACAUGUCUUAAAAUUUUAUACAUGUCCCAAAUAAAGAGUCACGUGAGCCUCUCUCUUGUCACAACUCGAAAAGACAUUAUUCCUUUUCAGGUUAGUGCUAAUAAUGGCAAGUACUAAAUAAUAAUUAUAAUCACAACUAGCCGCCUUAGUAUGCAAAGCCAACUCUUUGCCCCAUGAUAAUAUGAAACCAACUCUCUUGUCUUCUUUGGAUAAGACAACAUUCUUAUACUAUACGAACUAUUAAUGUUGCAUAAACAAAUCUUGUAGAAACAACAUUGGAAUGACGACAUAUCACAACAAAUAGAGGUUCAGUUCCUAAAGAACCUAUAUGAAAGAGAAUUUAAAUCAAAUUCUUGAGAAAUAUAUAAAAUUGUAUAGUAAUAGCAACUCAUACAACUUAACAUUCUGCAUCUUUUUGAAUUCAUUCCCCUUAACUUGAUUUUAUACAUUCUUUAUCCAAACUUCAAUCAAGUCAAAAAGAAAUUAUCAUAAAAUAAUAAAAAAAAAAACAACAACAUACCCGGUAUAAUCUCACUAAGUGGGGUUUUGUAGAUGAUAGAGUGUUGCAGACCGUACCACUACCUCAUGAAGAUAGAGAGGUUGUUUCCGAAACACCCCUGUCUCAAGAUAACUCUAUCUUACCUAAUCAUAAAAAUAUCACUGAGAAUUCGUCAACAUGUUAAAAUUAAUUUUCAUAUUUGUAUGAAAGUAGUUACUGAAAAUAAAAAUUGAACUUGUAUCUAAGGCAUAGGAUGCAUAAUAUGCAGUACUUGACUCGUGAAAAUUAGGAUAAGAAUAAGAAUAAACAUAACAAGCUGACAAAAAGUAACAUACUAUAAUGUUCAAGAGGGGAAACAACAGGUGGCAAUGAAAUCGGUAUGUACAGAAACUUUAUUUGCACUAAAGUUCUCAUGAGCUGAAUAAGUUAUAAAACCACUUGAUAUUGCUCCAGAUCAUAAGAAAAAGCUGCAGCAAUGGCUUAUUCAUCACGUCUUCAUCAAAUCAGUUAAUAAAUAUAUUCAGUUCAUGGAACAGGGAAAACAAAACCUCUGUACAUGUGAUUUUUGCUUCAUGCAAACACUUCAAAACUAAAAUUAAACUACUAAUGAAAAUGGAGAAAGGAAUAUACAAGGAUUGUCAAGAAACUCAGCACAAAAGGAUAAUACAAAUCUUUAUGCAAACAACUUUUGUACCAGUACAACAUAAAAAUUCAAAAUUAGAAACUACAUAUAUUUCAUUAUAGUUUCAACUCACUGUAAUGUCUAACAUGUAUUGCACAUCUUCUCUACUAUAUAAUGAACAACAUUGUCUUAAAAGCACACCACUUGAACAUUCUUUAAUGAGGAAAUCCGUUAUACUUCUAAACAGUUAAACCAGAAAUUCAUUAGUUAUGUCCUGUUAGUUUACGUAGUCCUCACAGAAAUAGGAUUCCCAUCAAGUAUAGCUCGAAUGUGUCCCGUAAUUCUUUACAUUAUUAGUGGAUAUUUUGAGGGUGAAGAUCUCCACCAGACAUCAUAAAACAAAUUGUCUUUUGUUGGGUGUUUGCAAUUUUCUAAUUUCUUUCACUCCAAAUGCAUAGUAAGUUUGCUCUCUCUAUAGCAUUUUCUUUUGUUGCCUAAACAAUCUUACUCUUUGUUUUUCAAUCAUAUAAUUUUUUAACCAUGCAACAUACUAAAUGUGUAUGUGUAGAACAAAGGUUCAUCUAUUUCAUAGUAUUACAUUAGAUACACUAUUACAUCAGAAAUAAAGUUUUGUUUUGACCACAUAAAUAUUUAUUUCUUAUCUAGUUCAUAGUCUUAGAAUCCUCCAAUUGAAAUAGAAUUAGUCAUCUUUCUCUUUAAAUUCAAAAGCAUCACUGCCUGCCACUCUCGGUGCAAAAAAAUACUUAGUUUAGCUCUAGAAUGACAGAUAGGAUUAACAAAAUUAUUCAAUAAUCACAAUCAUUCAUCAACUUUAUUUUCAAUCAAAGAUACCACCAAAUAUCUUCUAAGUUUAAUAACACAAGCAGACAAAAAUAUUAAUACAAGUAGAUAGAAAACCAUGUAAAAAGAACCCUACUUAAAACAUAGAGAGUAAAUUUAUGAUCAGACAAACUCUGCGCUCCACAACUGCAAUUGAUGGUUAAAACUGCAGAAACAUGCCUAGAUGAGCAGGAAAUAAGCAUGCUAGUUCCUUUGUGCAACUACUGAUGCCGACGAGCAGACAGGUUGAAAAUGAUCAGAAAGUUGAUUUUCUUUUCUUCUUCUUUUGUAGUUCACAAUAGAAUCCACCAACCAAACAGUUCAAAACCAAAAUGGCUUACUUUGAUGUAAAAUGGUUGCGAAAACUGCAAUAGAUGAAAAAAAAAGAAUAUCAUACCCAUAUUCAACGCACUGAAUCACGUUAUUAGGUUUUAGGGUAAUCUUCGGCCCUCAAUCUCCAUAGAUGUAAUUAAGAUGCUUGCUUACUGGGUCCUUCAUCGCAGAUUGAGAUUGCAUCGGCUCCAAAUCGACAAAUUGAAAGAAUUUUGGCAGAAAGUCCACUCCUUUUAACAAAACCUAAUAUAUUUUUGGGAUCAAAAGAGAGAAUUCUGAGGUUUAUGUUUCUCGGGUUUGGAGAAAAUGGGGGAAAAGGUAGUGGGCCUUAUUUUUUAAUCA
RNAcentral lists this long non-coding RNA (4372 nucleotides) under Solanum tuberosum (potato). RNAcentral's name for it is "long non-coding RNA (STUB_LNC010066)". The record is from RNAcentral. Lineage: Eukaryota; Viridiplantae; Streptophyta; Magnoliopsida; Solanales; Solanaceae.